RNAcentral lists this ribosomal RNA (481 nucleotides) under uncultured Anoxybacillus sp. RNAcentral's name for it is "bacterial SSU rRNA". It matches the Rfam family "Bacterial small subunit ribosomal RNA", at positions 907 to 1382 of the family's 1533-position model. Lineage: Bacteria; Bacillati; Bacillota; Bacilli; Caryophanales; Anoxybacillaceae. The record is from RNAcentral.
UGAAUUGACGGGGCCCGCACAAGCGGUUGAGCAUGUUGGUUUAAUUCGAAGCAACGCGAAGAACCUUACCAGGUCUUGACAUCCCCUGACAACCCGAGAGAUUCGGGCGUUCCCCCUUCGGGGGACAGGGUGACAGGUGGUGCAUGGUUGUCGUCAGCUCGUGUCGUGAGAUGUUGGGUUAAAGUCCCGCAACCGAGCGCAACCCUCGACCUUAGUUGCCAGCAUUCAGUUGGGCACUCUAAGGUGACUGCCGGCUAAAAGUCGGAGGAAGGUGGGGAUGACGUCAAAUCAUCAUGCCCCUUAUGACCUGGGCUACACACGUGCUACAAUGGGCGGUACGAAGGGUCGCGAACCCGCGAGGGGGAGCCAAUCCCAAAAAGCCGCUCUCAGUUCGGAUAGUAGUCUGCAACUCGACUACUUGAAGUCGGAAUCGCUAGUAAUGGCGGAUCAGCAUGCCGCCGUGAAUACGUUCCCGGGUCUU